Numida meleagris (helmeted guineafowl) is the source of this 6039-nucleotide long non-coding RNA. RefSeq lists it as uncharacterized. The record is from RefSeq and is a predicted model, not a curated record. The transcript has 8 exons. NCBI's taxonomy places the organism in Eukaryota, Metazoa, Chordata, Aves, Galliformes, Numididae.
CCAGGGUUGGUGACUCCACCACCUCCCCGAGCAGCCAUUCCAGUGCCUGACCACUCUUUCAGGCAAGAAAUUUUUCCUAACAUCCAACCUGAAUUCCCCAAGAGGAGCUGCUCUCAUGUCCACAUUGCCACUGGCCAACUGCCCCACUGCUCUUCAUCACCUCUUGGCAAAUGAGGGCUCCUUGGCUGCAUAACCAACGCCAAGCCCCUAGCACCCCUUGCUGCCUGUCCUGCCUGCCAUUGCUUAUGGGCAGGGGGAGAUUUGCUGUUUGGAUUCCCAUCCCUUAGGUUUGAGUUCAGCAGCUUCACGGGCACGUGGGGCUCCAAGGAACAGCUCUUAACUCACAGACACAGCUCCACGUGGAGCUGCAGUAGGAGCUUUCACUUUUCUUCCAGCAGCGAACUGAAAUUAAAAGCAGAUGUGGACAAUGGCACUGUCUCAGGGGAAUGAAGGAUAUUGUUUUACCGGUGUGACAUCUGGUGAGACUAGAUCAUAGCCCAACAUGUGCUGAGCUAGUCCUGCUUUCUAGGUCCUCCGCAAUGGAUUUGCCCCAUCGGUUAUGUGUGUGGGCUCAGGUUUAACUACAUCAUCACGUUUGCCCACCUCACAGGGGAGACGUGGUGCUUCCUGAGCACAUCUUUUCCAUUGCCCCAUGCUCUUGGCUGUGUGUCUUGGAAAGCCCUGAUUUCUGUGUGCGUGGUGAGGAUUUGUGGGGAGCAGCACCGGAUGCUGCCCUAAUGGCAGAAUAGGACCAGGACACCUGAAUAUCCCCAGUUUUAUUCUCCCAAUUCCCCCUGUGACCUUUGGUAAGUAACUUAACCUGUUGUCCUCAGGAUCCCCAGUAAAAUGGGAGACCUUAAUACUUAUCUGGUGGGAUAACAGUGCUUAAUUCUUACCUAAUUGGAUGACAAUACUUACCUACAUACCUCACAGGGGUGUUGUGAGGAUUAAUUAGCUAAUGUUUGUAAAGUGCUUUGGAGAUGGAAAGCAGUAUAUAGUCGUGCUAAGCGCUAUUACUGCAUGCCAGCACCGAGACCUUAAAAUGGCUACAGGCGGAAUAAGAGUUUUUAUAUGUUUUGAAAUAAGCCAAUUGUUCAAGGCAUCCGGAUGCUGGAAGUAUUUUUAGGCGGAGAUUUCCAAGAAAGUUGGGAAACAGAAGGGUAUAAUUAUAUGAUCUGAAACCUUUUUUGUUUCUUUUCGAGGACCGACUAAACAUAAUCUGAGUUAGGUGUCAUUUGAUGAAUGUUAAAACUGCUUCUUGGGGUCUAAGAUGUAUCAGCGUUUACUCUUGCUGAUCAAACAGUAUUGCUUGAGAGAAAUAUCUCUGUUACAAUUUGGACAAACAAAUAUAUUAAAUAAGCCAGAGGAAGUAUUUAUUUCUGUGUUCUUUCUGUAUUUCUUUCUGUAAGCAGCUUUUUUUAUUGGCAUAAUUCUGCUCUUGUUCCCAUUAGGGUAACUGAAAGGUAACACCACUGCAGUAAAUGGAAUUACACUAGAUACAAAAGCAUUAUGUGAGAGCAAAAUUAUAUUUAUAUGUGGUCUGAAAUGCAACUUGACGCUUGGAUUUAAAGAAAAAUCAAACCAACCGUUCCUAGAAAUAUGUGGAAAUGCAACUUUUUUUUUUUUUCUUGCUAGGACAAACAAAAACCGCCCAGCUCUUUGUUGAAUACCGCUUGUUUUGUGGCAGCUCCAAAACAGAUCUUGCAAAAGGCAGGUCUGGUAUACUAUAGAUGACAUUUUUUUCUUUCACAGGAGGAAACUUUGCAAGAUUUUUUUUGCCUUUAAAUAUUUUAUUUGGUUCCUAAUGUGCACUCUUGGUCCAAGAAAGCAACUUUAUAGAUAUCAAAGCUCCCAUUUGUAUUUUUUUGCAAGAGCGUUUCUUCAGAUCUUUUACUCUCCAGUGUUAGAGAGAAUUCCCACAAAUUCCUGAAAUCUGUUAAAAUACAGAGCUGAGUGCUCACGUUGGUAUGCUGUGCAUUGGCUCUCUCCGUUAAAAAGGCUGUGCAUUUUCAUUCUGGAUACACGAAAGAAAUUUGAUAUACUGCUGGGCUAAGUACCAGGAUUUGGUUGGCUCUACAGCCAAUUCUUACAUUUCUGUGUUGGGCAAAUGUAAGAAUGGAUAAAAUUUAAUGUAAAACCAACCCCAAGGCCUUUCUUAUGGAGAUCAGGUUAUUUGCAAUCUACUGGAGACCAUUCCCCACAAUCAGGAGAGGCAAGGAAAAUGGCAUCAAAGGCCUCAAGAGAAGAACUUAACCAACCCCAAGCAAGCUGCAUGUUUCCCAGCUGCCAGAACAGCCACAGAGACCUGGGGGAAAGCUGGCCAGAAAGUUAGGUGCCAUUUCUGGGAAGAGGAUCUCCCAGAUUAACCAGCACUUGGCCCUUCAGCUGCCAUGUGGUUCUAAUGCGGGCCAAUCGGCACUGAGUCCAGCCCUGGCCCAAGGGGAAGGAUGACAUGAAGUAUAACCCAUGCUGUCAGUGGUGGGCUAAUGUGCAUCAUCCGUGCAUGCGGAUACAAUAGCUGUCAAGAGCUUUGCAGUUGGCUGUCCUAAGGAGGAUCUGAGGGGGAGAAUGAGGUGUAUGGCAAGAAGACCUAGUGUUUAGGGCACUAAGCAUCUAGGCAGCCAAAUUUGCAGGCUUAGAAGCUCAUUAGUUUGGUGGAGGUACAGUUCCUUACCAACCCCUUGGUGCACAACUGUAACAUUUCCCAGGACGGGAACAACUGACAAAGUGGAUCACCACAGCUGGUGUGCAAACCCCAUGAGGUGAAACUGCCUGGAAACGGGGCACCUCACAUGGCCCUGCCCAGCCUGAUGCACCCACCAUGUCGUAAUGACACGCAAUGGAGCAAGAUGGGACAGCAAGUUUGGCUCACACACUGCACUGAGUGAGGGGAGUGCUUUUCCCAUUAUCCCUGCUCUUGGUGCACCUGGGAGAUGGAAAGAACCUUCAGCAGCUGGUGACUUUGCACACCUGCAUUCAAUCUUCUCUCCCACUUACUCAAAUCAGCUCCAUCUGACGGCGUGGCUUUUGGUUGCACUCUAACAAGUGCUUAGUUAAAUGGCAACUUCUAUUUUUAAACAAGCUCCAGCUAUUAAUGUUAUUCUGGAGGUGGACAAGAAAUACAGCACUACUGGGCAGGAGGGAGUUGUGUCGACACCCAGGCACUGGAGCAGCCAAAAAGACAGGGGCACCUUGAAGGAUGUAUCCUACAGGGAUAAGCCCUCACCAGACAGCCCCAGCCUAGAGAAAGGAGGUAGGAGCUGGACUGGGAGCACUGGGAAAGGCAAAGGAGUGCGUAGGACACCGGAACCACUCUACAAAGAUUGUCAGUGUCUGAAUUUCAUCGCAAUCUGUUCGGCUGUUUGUUGCAGGCAGGCGUAAAACAGAGUGGGUGUAGGACAACAGAAGGUACCAAGCUGGUGAUGACAUAACAGAAGGAUGCUGAGUUGGUUGAGCACGAUUUCCCCUUGGUGAAUCCAUGUUGACUACUGAUGACCUCCUUCACUGGGUUAUAUCCUGGGCUGCUUGUGGGCAGCACUCCGUCCUGUGUCAUCAUCCUCACCCCUGAGUCAUGUGAAAGACAAGAUGGUGACUCAAAUAAGUGCUUCCCAGCACAGCUUUCCCCAACAGCUGCAUUAAAAGGAGUUGCUCGAUGUGGAACAGGUGGCUCGUGGUGCAGGUCACUGGCCAUGAAUGCCGUGCACAGGGCUGACGCUGGCAUUUAAAGGUCAAUCUUUGCCGCUGCUCGGCACCUUCCCAGCAGCAGGUGACCCACGGGCCCCUCUCACCCCACGAAGAAGCCCCGCCGCACCUUUGGGAAGCUGUUUGCAGCAGGACGAGGCGCGAUCACAGCUUGGCUGAAGGGUGUCACAUUCCCCGUGCUGCAGACACGAGGACCAGCGGUGGAAUAUUCGAUUACAUGUCAGUCACAGCACAUUAGGCAAUCUUCCAGUCUGCCAGCUUUGCCCUUCCUGGCUCUGAGCAAAGUGUCACUGGGAAAGAAGUGGCACAGCGAGGCAAGGAGGUGAUGCUAGGGAGCUUCUGUCCCCAUGAGAAAUGUCCCAUAGGAGCCCUUCAGUGGGGCUACAGAUAGGGCACGGUGGUUUAUGCCUGGUGAACUGGUGAAUGCAAACCAGUACUGCUCACCUUUAUCCUUAGCUCUAAAGGUAUAAAUGUCUGCAAAAGCAGCAGAUGAUGCAGUGAGGAACUGGGGAACUGCCAUUCCAGUGGUAGUACCGAAAAUACUCUGCUCUUUCAAACACGGUGGCUAUAAAAACAUGUUCUGACCGAGCAUUUUCUGGGCUGUUCUGCUUGCAAAUUACUUAACAAAAAUAUGUUAGAAGUGGAAGUUAAGAGCUGUGGACAAUUUCCUACUUUGUAUAAGCCAGAAAAAUCCCAUCUCAGCUCCAAGAAGGAAACUACUUUCCAAAAUGUCAGCUCAUGCAGAAAGUCCCAGUUCGGCUGGAACGAGCCGCUCCGUUUGCGCUCGGUGGUUUCUGGAACAACAAAAAGCCGCGUAUGUCCGUGCUGGGAAGCACAGGCACUGAAGGAUAAUGUGGGUAGAUUAUUCCCGUUGGCACCAGGGGCUUAUUAUGGCUUUUGUUAAGCAUCCUCCACCUAUUAGCCACAGCCACAGGAGAAGGGAAUGGUGGUGUUCCCGUUUCGCUGCUUCUGCAGUUGAGCUGCACCUCCUGUUCGGAGACUUUCAAAGUGAAUUUUAAAUCAAAGGAGACAACGCUGCUGUUACUGGUUGGGACGUCCAUAAGAAGAACUUCAGCUUUGUCUACUUUGAUUUCAGAUUCACUUUGAUUGUUUUUCUGACAGGAGGUGUGUAGGCAUCACAAGGCAGCACCAUCGCCAUUAGCUUUUCGAGUGAUCAUCGCUAUUUAGCUGGGGAGACAAUAAGAGUGGGGUGGGAGUCAAUGGAAAUAACCUUUCCGAUGCUUCCAAAGCUUCAAACCUGUCCUCAGGCUCCCAAACUCUGAGAAAUACUUAGAGGGAGAGACUGCCUGCGGAGUGGGGAGUAUGGGGGUGAUGGAUGAAACAAUAAAAAUGACACCAUGGUAAAAGUGAGCAUGGGACACUGCCGCUUGCAGUGCCUUGUGCACGUGGUGGAUGUCAGACCCGCUGCUGUGUUGGGGCUGCAGCAUGAGACCCACACGUGGCAGGAUGGCUGGACCAAGGCUGGCGAGCCCAUGAAGGCGAGGGAGGCCAUGAGGAUCAAGGGCAGCCCUCGGCAGUAGGGUGUGGUGGGAAAGGAAUGAGUCCAUUUUCGGUAGCACCUGGGAGAAUUACUGUUUCCCCCCUAUAUCACCCUCUCCUCCUUGACCAUGUUUGAAAAGGGCAUUUCAGCGCCGACGGCAGUGUUGUUGCAGACAGAAGGACCCGGCUGAGAGCAGCCGGUGAUGUGUGCCUUACUUUUAAAAAGAAAGAUGUGUCUUGACAGCUUGCCAAAUACCACAUCUGCCUCUCUUUGCACCUCUGCGGGUGAAGCUGUACAGCAAGGUGGUGAAGACGGGCAGACCUAUCAAUUAACUGUGUGAGGGCCGCACUCUCUCCUUUGCUGCCCAGCAGCUGUAGGCAAUGCUGGAAGAACGACCUCCCUGAUGUACAUCUGGAACACCUGUGGGAGAUGCACAGCUGGGACUUCCCUGCAGUGACUGAGGAGCACCACACGCUGCCAGCUCAGGAGGACUUGGAGAAGUGAGGAGCACACGUGCAGGAAACAAAUUCUGUAAGAAGUCUGCAUGGACAUACAGAUUGAAUUCUGCAAAUAAGCUGGAGAGAGAUCCCUCUCCAUCUACUCUCCGUGUGCUUCGACGAAAGAAGUGAGCUGCCAAGAGUAAACUUCCAGGAGGCAAAAGGCAAGCAAAAACAACAAAAAGACAGGAUCAUGGAUCACGGAAGCUCCUACUGUAUCUGAUGUACUUACUUAUCGCCUCCACAAACUGUUCAAAGAAGCAGUAUGGGAACAGCGGCUCAGGCAGCUCUCUGAAAAACAUCUUGAGUGCUCCGGUGACAACGUGGAUGUCCUCCCAC